Molecule: long non-coding RNA, 212 nt
Filed under: Solanum tuberosum (potato)
Lineage: Eukaryota; Viridiplantae; Streptophyta; Magnoliopsida; Solanales; Solanaceae
Description: long non-coding RNA (STUB_LNC003656)
Source: RNAcentral
CAUUACAACAAGAUUAUGGCGCACCAAGUUAUACUCCCAAUAAGGAAUAUAAAAAAAUAUGCUCCUCUUUUACCAUGUAUUUUUCAUCACCCCACUUACCUCUUCACUUGACUUGCCUAGAGUAAACUUUAUAUCUUUAACUUGAUCCAGCACUUGUGACCCAGAUAUUGCGCAAGGUGCAUGUCUUCUUUCUUUAGUCCCAUCAAAUGAUU